GCCAGCAUGGCAUAGUGGUUUGUUCAUUGGGCUACAACUCUGGAGACGAGGGUUUCAAAUCCCUCUGCAGCCA
This is a non-coding RNA of Phrynosoma platyrhinos (Desert horned lizard), 73 nucleotides long. NCBI's taxonomy places the organism in Eukaryota, Metazoa, Chordata, Lepidosauria, Squamata, Phrynosomatidae. The record is from the annotation of a GenBank genome assembly.